UUUUUUUGUUUUUUUGGUUUUUUUACUAGAACAUCUGAAUGUUUACCAAGGCAAAUAAUAAAUCCUCACAAUCUUAAUUAAAAUGGCAACAAGAAGCAUGCAAUAGAUGCUGGUUUUGAAUUUCCUUGAGACCACAUUUUUCCUGAUACUCUGUGGUUUAAAAACUAUUUAAUUUUGAAUGGCAGUAAAUUACUGAAGUUCUUGCAGUUCUGAUGCAUUCUCAGAUAUCAGCUUUAAGACUAUGUGGAUGUAUUCUACGUGAUGGAAUAUUUUGCACCUAAGGUUUUUAGCCCCUUUACUUUGGAGAGGACUAAAGCAGCAAAAGGAGAGCAUGCAUUUGGAAGUGUUAGAUGAUCCAGUGCAACGUCCUGUAAUAACAUCCUGUUAUGCUUGUCUGAAAUGAUUUGAUCUCUCUUUUUUGGGGGGGCUGGGGAGGUGGGGGAUGUGAAAUAGAUGUCAAGAAAUUAUCUUUCUUCAUUAGGCCAAAUGACUCUGGAAGAGUUAGCCUAGUCCAAAACCUGGAUUGACAGGUUAAAUAACUGCUUUGUUGCUCACAGUCAAUGACUAUGAGUUACACAUCACUUAAAGCAUGGCAAUAGUUUUAACAGAAUCUGUUUCCUGCUCAUACUCUCCCAUGCUGACUUUCAAGAGAAUGACUCCAUUAUGUAUCACAGGACAGGAAAUGACCAUAAACAUGGCAGAAGAGAAGAUGAUGUUAUUGCAGACUUUCACAUUUCUGGUAUGUUUAAUUUUCUUUGGCUGUAAAAAGGACAUUUUAGGUUUAAUCCAUGAGAGUAGGUUUGUAUAAAGUAGCGUUCUUGGGUUGUAGCUAGAGUCCUGUAUCAGACGUUAUGAGAGAUAAGAAAGAAUGACCUAAGAGACUUUUAAAAAAGUUUUUCUAAAAGUGUGCUACUUUUGGACAGGUCUAGGUAACAUGGCAGAUGAUCUGAUCCAACCAGAAUUACAGGGAUGAUAAAAACACAAUUUGCAAGCAAGAUAUGAAUGCCUAACAAGAUACAUGUGAUAAGAUUUGAUAGCAGUAGCAUUUAAGUAUUCCUUGCUUCCUUUUGAACCAAGUGGUAAAUAUUUAUCAUGUCAGAGCUGUAUCACUGAUCUUUAGUGUUUGACAGAGCAUGCCCACACAGCCACAUGAUGCUGUGUACGGCCAUGACAAUCCAUUGGCAGGAGGCUUUGCUCAGGAAAGUGUUCAAGCGUAAUGAAAGUGAAAUUGCUCCUAAAUGCAGUUGUGAGCUGCUAUUACAUCACUCUUUGGACUGUAUGAAGGGGUUGCCAGCAUAUACACUGUAAGUUUUCUGCUGUCCACCAGGACAAGAAAACCAUCUCAUCCUUUUUUGAUUUCCUUUGUCUUCCUUUAUAUGCAAUAUGGGUUUUUUUUGCAGAGAAACAAGAUUUCACUUUUUAAAUGUUUAUUUGUUUUUCUGGUUUAUUUUCUGCUGCUGAUUGUUAGUAGAAACACCAAAAAUUCACAACAAAAACAUUACAAGAAAGGGAAAAAAUAAAUUCUUCAUUUACUAAUAGUUCCUUCUUACAUUUGUGAAGAUGUAUAUACAAUGUAAAAAUACUGGGUUUAACUUUUAUCCUAGGUAAUUGUUUAUGAUAAUUUGUUUUCUUUCCCAUUAUAAACACUAGAUUUGUUUCUGGCACAUCUUUAUUUCUGGCACAUCUUUCCCUGUCUAGAAGGAUAUGUUGGAGACACACAGCACUCUCCUGAAAAGCAUGCAGUCUGUAUAUGUAAUAAAUUCUUCAUCAGCCCCAUUUAUAACUUUGGUUAUAGUGAAUAAUAUCACAUUUGCUCUGAAGUAAAAAGUUUAAUUAUACUCCUGCUUUAUAAGGAAAGCUUUGUAAACCUCUUCUAAUUACAGGCUGCUAAAUAUUAUCUAGCAUUGAAAUUUAUUCUACUUGAACAUAAAAAAUUUAUUUUCAUCUUUAUUGAAAAUUCCUGAAUUAUUUACUUAACUAAAGACUUGAAUGCUUAAGUAUAAGUGAAGCAAAGGAAGUAUUUUUCACACCAAAAUUUUCCUUUUAAAUGUGAGAAUUGUGUAUAAUUUUACACCAACAUUAAAAAGAGACCCACAUUAAUAUAAAGCCAGGUUCAAGACCAUGGAGUAGAAUUCUAAGUGUGAAACUUUAUAGUAGAUCCUUUGACAAAUUCAGCAAAACUGGAAUUUUAUCCUGAGGCUUUACCAUCUCAUUCAUGGUUAUGACCAUUUCAACUUUAAAACUCACAGAAGCUUGAGCUUGUUAUUCCUCUUUGUUUUGAAUGAUGGAGCAAAAUUACAGUCCCUGUGCUCCACAUUCAAUUUUUUCUAUUUUGCAGAAGUGCUAAGACUUCAAAGCAGAGAAGACUCAUGGGCAGGACUUUUUACCACAGAACUGCUGAAGAAAAUGCCAAUUUUUGAAGGGCUGGUUUCUGAAAAGGCAUAAUACUUCAGUAUUUUAUUCUGCAUUUUGUAGUUAAAGCUCUAAUCCUCCUACAAAUUCCCCAAAGCAUUUUUCUUGCAGGGUGGGGGAGGUUCAUUCUGGAAUGCUUUUUAAAAUACAGAUGUGUAUGAAGAAGUAUUUAAACUUGCAUGACCCAAGCAGGAAUGGGAGUUAAUUUGAAAACAGAGUGUAGCAUUUCAAAGCAUGGAAUGAUGUAAGUUUUCAGCACUGAACUUAGUCAUCAACCCUAUAAGUUGCCAUAUAGAUGAUCUUUCCAGAUCCAAAACCUUGCAAUGAGCCCAGGAUCCAGUUAAAAACUCUUCUUAAUGUGGAAGCUGAUCCUGCACAUGUUUCACAAGUUGGUCAUCAGCAAUCUAGGCCAUUAUGAAGAAUAAAGCCAGGCCCAUGGGUUUGGAUGUUAAAGGAGCUAAUGGAGCAGUAUGAGCUGCACGUGGUUUCUGACUCCAUUUGUUUAGGUGGGAAGGUGGUGCCGUGUUUGGCUCUUUGAAGGGACACACAGUAAACACUCUGGACAACUAAUGCACAACCCCAUACAGCUGUGAGUACUUUACAAGUCCUUGUGCAGGUGGUGGAGAGCAGCCUUCCCAGUUCAGGUUUCAUAGACCCUUUGGCCACCUUAUGGGACAUAUAAAUCUAGGAGCUGAGAGUGUUACGCAGCUUUCCACAUAUGCCAACAAAGGGUGAUAUACACUACCUGUUUUCUUUUGCUGCCUUUUCAUUCUUAAGCAAUACAUAAAUUGAUUGCUUUUUUUCCUUGUACAGUUGUUUAUGACAAGAUUCAGCUAUUCAACCUAUAGUGUAGAUUCAGAAGAAUUCCUUUCUCAGGGAGUUGUUCAAACUUGGGCCAGUGUAAACAUGGUAAGAAUCUCCCUGGACUACACUAGUGGAUUUAGUCUGGUUUUAUAUUUGUAGAGCAGAUGUUUUCUUGGAAGAAAUGGGCAGAAGUUCUAUCUCAAAAGCUUCAGCAGCAGUCAAGCUUUGAUAAUACAGUCCCUUCUUUCUUUGUUACGAAUGCCUGCCAAAAGAAAGGAAAGGGUUUCUUUCUUCUGAAUCCCAAGUACAUUAAUCUCUGAAGUGACUGGUCAGGACAACGUUGAAGUGUCAGAUCAUGGUAACUGAAUUAGAUUUUAGUGUAAUUGCUCAAUAUUACAUGUUGUUGAGGGAGAUGGGAGAGG
Long non-coding RNA from Taeniopygia guttata (zebra finch), 3638 nucleotides. NCBI's taxonomy places the organism in Eukaryota, Metazoa, Chordata, Aves, Passeriformes, Estrildidae. The record is from Ensembl.